This is a long non-coding RNA of Onthophagus taurus, 922 nucleotides long. RefSeq lists it as uncharacterized. The record is from RefSeq and is a predicted model, not a curated record. Lineage: Eukaryota; Metazoa; Arthropoda; Insecta; Coleoptera; Scarabaeidae.
UAUUAAAACAAUUUAUUUUACGUGAAAUUCGAAACAAAUGAAAUUCUUGUUUUUUUUUGUUUGGGCCCAUUUUACAACACAUUAAAUUAAAUACUUUAAUUUUUUAUGUGCUUUUUGAUUUUUUUCACUGAAAUUGUUCAAUUUUAUAUCUCGUCUCGGGUGGUCACUUUUCAUUACAUCGAUAAUUCACUAACGUUGGACGGUAACGACACCAAUUCUUAUAAAUACAGACGACUGGUAGUCUUCACAUUCAGUUGAAAAUAGACGCGAAGAAAGGAGACAACGCGCCUCUACGAUUUACUGCCACUUCCAGAAGGUAAACACCGAGGCUUUACUGCGGCAUCGUAUUACUUAGCUGGAGUCACUGAACCCGUAAUAAAAUAGAAAUAUUUUAUUAUCGGGAAAGCGCGUCAUGUCCGUCUGGGGGAGUUUAUUAGCGUUUCUCUUGGAUGAAUAAUCGCGGUCGAUAACAAACCUCGGUCGUCAUCUUUACGAUCGCCACUCCUCUUAUAUGUCUCAAGAGGUGUUAUUUAUUAACAUAAUAUAAUAUAUCCAAGUGACAUUUUCAUAUGUUGUGUCAGUUGACCGAUUUGCAAUGACGUGGUUAUAAACUAUGUCAAAAUUUAUGUUAUCCUUUUAAUAACGACUGUUCACAAUUAAGUUAAUGUAUGAAAUUUUAGUACCUGGGUGGGUUUUAAUAAAUCAUCGAAGUUGAGGUAAAUAUGGACGCUACACAAGAAGUAAAAUUGGGUCCAGUGAUAUUUAUUGAUUACGACGUUGUAUUUUGGACCAUGGAAAAAAUUGCCAAAACAUUUGUAGCUAUAAUCCGUCUGUUUGUAACUUUAUAAAUUAUUUUUUCCGCGUAAUUGUAACAUGUAGAGGAUUAAUGUAAUUAUGUAUAAAUAAAAACCUAAAACUUCGA